UCUUAUCUGCCUCUUUCGCCGAUCAGAUCAGCAACAUCGCCCUCAUCCUUUGGUGGACGGUGGCAGUUUGGACCGAAGCGGUGGUGAGAUUAAUGGCUGAGAGCAUCAAGACUUGGUUUGGUGGCAGUACGAAACUAAACAAGGAGGUCCUCCAGCUGGGUAGAUGGCCAGUGGUUGCAGAAAAUUAGAUCGGAGGUGAUAUGGAUUUUUGGAGUGGGACUUUCAAUGGGUAGUGAAUUUGGUAUGAGCUGGGGUUAGGCCAUUGCUAAUUUGCUAUUGUUGUGGCGUGGUGAUAUAAAGAGAGAAACUGUGUUGAGAUUGUAAGUUAGAGCCUCAUAAGUGAUUUGCUUUGAUCUAGACGCAGGUGUCAGUAAUGAUGUUGGUCGGAGAAAGAGGCAUAUUUGGAUUUGUCUGUUAACAAUUUUUUACUUCAUUGCAAACACUAUCAUAGGCUAAUUGAUCUUUUUUAUUUUCUGGGAAAAUGAGAAGUCAAAACAAUGGGAACUCAAGACAUCGAAAAUUGAUGAGAUAAAAUAUAAAAUUCAUGUUCUAUUUUUUGAGGAAAGGAAGUGAAUCCCGCUUCAGUCCAAAUUGCCACCAUCCAGAAGUCCACCAAAUGUUGAGGAUGAUGAUCUCUGAGAACUCACUUUCUGAUAAUAAGAAGUUUGGAAAAUGAGAGAGCGAGCAAGAGAUGUUGAGGAUGAUGAUCUUGGUCAGAGAAAGAGGCAACGAAGAG
Molecule: long non-coding RNA, 736 nt
Organism: Quercus lobata
Lineage: Eukaryota; Viridiplantae; Streptophyta; Magnoliopsida; Fagales; Fagaceae
Exons: 2
Source: RefSeq, a predicted model, not a curated record